AAGAGACGUUGCCCUUCGGGGUAUACCUCCCACCCUUUGUUUAUUAUACCUUUGUUGCUUUGGCGGGCCCGUCCUCGGACCACCGGCUUCUGCUGGUCAGUGCCCGCCAGAGGACCUAAAACCCUGUUUGUUAAUAUUGUCUGAGUACUAUAUAAUAGUUA
RNAcentral lists this unclassified non-coding RNA (161 nucleotides) under soil metagenome. RNAcentral's name for it is "partial internal transcribed spacer 1". The record is from RNAcentral.